Molecule: ribosomal RNA, 843 nt
Filed under: uncultured bacterium
Lineage: Bacteria
Description: bacterial SSU rRNA
Rfam family: Bacterial small subunit ribosomal RNA
Source: RNAcentral
AGAGUUUGAUCCUGGCUCAGGAUGAACGCUGGCGGCGUGCUUAACACAUGCAAGUCGAACGGAGUUAUGAGAAGAGAGUGAGGUGCUUGCACCAAGUGAUCAUUUUGUAACUUAGUGGCGGACGGGUGAGUAACGCGUGGGUAACCUGCCAUAUACAGGGGGAUAACACUUAGAAAUAGGUGCUAAAACCGCAUAAGCGCACAGCUUCGCAUGAAGCAGUGUGAAAAACUCCGGUGGUAUAUGAUGGACCCGCGUCUGAUUAGCCAGUUGGCAGGGUAACGGCCUACCAAAGCGACGAUCAGUAGCCGGCCUGAGAGGGUGAACGGCCACAUUGGGACUGAGACACGGCCCAAACUCCUACGGGAGGCAGCAGUGGGGAAUAUUGCACAAUGGGGGAAACCCUGAUGCAGCGACGCCGCGUGAGUGAAGAAGUAUUUCGGUAUGUAAAGCUCUAUCAGCAGGGAAGAAAAUGACGGUACCUGAGUAAGAAGCCCCGGCUAACUACGUGCCAGCAGCCGCGGUAAUACGUAGGGGGCAAGCGUUAUCCGGAUUUACUGGGUGUAAAGGGAGCGUAGACGGUGAUGCAAGUCUGGUGUGAAAACCCGGGGCUCAACCCCGGGAUUGCAUUGGAAACUGUGUGACUGGAGUGCAGGAGAGGUAAGCGGAAUUCCUAGUGUAGCGGUGAAAUGCGUAGAUAUUAGGAGGAACACCGGUGGCGAAGGCGGCUUACUGGACUGUAACUGACGUUGAGGCUCGAAAGCGUGGGGAGCAAACAGGAUUAGAUACCCUGGUAGUCCACGCCGUAAACGAUGAUUAAUAGGUGUCGGGAGACAAAGUCUUCCG